UACAGAGGUGGCAAGCGUUGUUCGGAAUUACUGGGCGUAAAGCGCACGUAGGCGGCUUUGUAAGUUAGAGGUGAAAGCCCAGGGCUCAACCCUGGAAUUGCCUUUAAGACUGCAUCGCUAGAAUUGUGGAGAGGUAAGUGGAAUUCCGAGUGUAGAGGUGAAAUUCGUAGAUAUUCGGAAGAACACCAGUGGCGAAGGCGACUUACUGGACACAUAUUGACGCUGAGGUGCGAAAGCGUGGGGAGCAAACAGG
RNAcentral lists this ribosomal RNA (253 nucleotides) under uncultured bacterium. Its description in RNAcentral is "partial 16S ribosomal RNA". It matches the Rfam family "Bacterial small subunit ribosomal RNA", at positions 524 to 776 of the family's 1533-position model. The record is from RNAcentral.